ACAAUAUUUUAUCUCACAGAUAGAAGAAAAAAUAAAUUUCUUCGAAACUUUAUAAAUUACUUACACGAACAUUUGUCCAACAUGGAGAAUUAUCAAAAGAAUUAUGCAGUAUAAAAACAUCAAAAAAUGCUUUUUCGAAGAUGACUGAAGAUCAUCUAAUUUUAAUUUUUUUUUCUUUGCUCUUCACUUCAAUCUCAUUUUCUUCUCCAAAGUCCAGGUCCGAAAGGGUAAAAUUCUACAAUAAGAAUUUUUGUUACUCAAAAAUUUCAGUCAGUAUGUAAAUGACAUUUGAAGCAAUUCUCUUCACAAAGCAGUGAGAUGGAGGGUAUUUUCAUAUGUACCCGUGCAAACCAAACAAGUUAAAAUUGAUAGGAGAUAGAGAGAAUCGUAGUGUUAAUUUAGCAAACGGCCGGAGAAGGUGAAGCGAGAGGCGGUGAAACCAUAGCUUGAAGUGCAACUGAAAUAGAGGAAAAACCUUUUGUUGAAGCACGAUAAGAGAAUGUGAACUAUUCAAUGGCAAUGGAAUUGCUACCGGGGUGGUGGCGACACCUUCAAUUGAAGUGCAGCCGGAGAUGAUGAGACGACGACAGAGUGCCAACCGUGUGGAUUUUGAUUUAGGGAGAAAUAGAUUUUUUGGAUAUAGAUUUCUG
This 650-nucleotide long non-coding RNA is filed under the name Olea europaea subsp. europaea. Lineage: Eukaryota; Viridiplantae; Streptophyta; Magnoliopsida; Lamiales; Oleaceae. The record is from RNAcentral.